Molecule: ribosomal RNA, 550 nt
Filed under: uncultured Actinomycetes bacterium
Lineage: Bacteria; Bacillati; Actinomycetota; Actinomycetes
Description: bacterial SSU rRNA
Rfam family: Bacterial small subunit ribosomal RNA
Source: RNAcentral
UGCAGUCGAGCGAUGAAGCACCUUCGGGUGUGAAUUAGCGGCGAACGGGUGAGGAACACGUGAAGAAUCUGCCUUCAACUCUGGGAUAACUCCGGGAAACCGGGGCUAAUACCGGAUAUGAGCCUUGAUCGCAUGAUCGGGGCUGGAAAGUUUUUCGGUUGAAGAUGACUUCGCGGCCUAUCAGCUUGUUGGUGAGGUAAUGGCUCACCAAGGCGACGACGGGUAGCCGGCCUGAGAGGGCGACCGGCCACACUGGGACUGAGACACGGCCCAGACUCCUACGGGAGGCAGCAGUGGGGAAUAUUGGGCAAUGGAGGAAACUCUGACCCAGCGACGCCGCGUGAGGGAUGAAGGCCUUCGGGUUGUAAACCUCUUUCAGUAGGGAAGAAGCGAAAGUGACGGUACCUACAGAAGAAGCACCGGCUAACUAUGUGCCAGCAGCCGCGGUAAUACAUAGGGUGCAAGCGUUGUCCGGAAUUAUUGGGCGUAAAGAGCUCGUAGGUGGUUCGAUACGUCGGAUGUGAAAAUCAGGGGCUCAACCCCUGACCUG